This 270-nucleotide unclassified non-coding RNA is filed under the name Cladophialophora sp. Its description in RNAcentral is "partial internal transcribed spacer region". The stretch from base 1 to 46 matches the Rfam family "Eukaryotic small subunit ribosomal RNA", at positions 1786 to 1831 of the family's 1831-position model. RNAcentral also lists the same sequence under 1 other name. The record is from RNAcentral. Lineage: Eukaryota; Fungi; Ascomycota; Eurotiomycetes; Chaetothyriales; Herpotrichiellaceae.
AAGUCGUAACAAGGUUUCCGUAGGUGAACCUGCGGAAGGAUCAUUAAAGAGUUAGGGUCCUUUGGGCCCGACCUCCCAACCCUUUGUUUACUGAACCUCUGUUGCUUCGGCGGACCCGCCUCACGGCCGCCGGAGGACCGCCCCCAGGCGUCCUCUGGCCAGCGUCCGCCGAUAGCCACUCUCAAAACUCUUGAAUAAAUCAUGUUAUUGUCUAAGUCUAUGAUGCAAAUCAAUAAAGCAAAACUUUCAACAACGGAUCUCUUGGUUCUG